UUUGGAAUUUUGGACAAUGGGCGAAAGCCUGACGCAGCGACGCCGCGUGAAGGAUGAAGGUCUUCGGAUUGUAAACUUCUGUUAAGUGGGAAGAAAGAGCCAUAAGUAAUAUGUAUGGAAGAUGACGGUACCAUUAGAGAAAGCACCGGCUAAUCUCGUGCCAGCAGCCGCGGUAAUACGAGAGGUGCAAACGUUAUUCGGAUUUACUGGGCGUAAAGGGUGCGUAGACGGUAUGAUAAGUCAACUGUUUAAUUUUCUGGCCUAACCAGAAAUAUGCGGUAGAAACUGUCGUACUAGAGGAUGGAAGAGAGAAGUGGAAUUCUCGGAGUAGCGGUAAAAUGCGUAGAUCUCGAGAGGAACACCGAUGGCGAAAGCAGCUUCUUGGUCCAUUUCUGACGUUGAGGCACGAAAGCGUGGGGAGCAAACAGG
Molecule: ribosomal RNA, 429 nt
Filed under: uncultured bacterium
Lineage: Bacteria
Description: bacterial SSU rRNA
Rfam family: Bacterial small subunit ribosomal RNA
Source: RNAcentral